RNAcentral lists this ribosomal RNA (443 nucleotides) under [Candida] danieliae. RNAcentral describes it as "LSU rRNA". It matches the Rfam family "Eukaryotic large subunit ribosomal RNA", at positions 70 to 668 of the family's 3401-position model. The record is from RNAcentral. Lineage: Eukaryota; Fungi; Ascomycota; Pichiomycetes; Serinales; Metschnikowiaceae.
AGCGAUGCCUCAGUACGGCGAGUGAAGCGGCAAAAGCUCAAAUUGAAAUCCCGCGGGAGUUGUAAUUUGAAGGCCCGCACCAGAAGGUAAAAAGUCCAUUGGAAUAUGGCGCCAUAGAGGGUGACAGCCCCGUUAACAGACUAUUACAGUGCGGCGCCAAAGAGUCGAGUUGUUUGGGAAUGCAGCUCAAAGUGGGUGGUAAAUUCCAUCUAAAGCUAAAUAUUGGCGAGAGACCGAUAGCGAACAAGUACAGUGAUGGAAAGAUGAAAAGCACUUUGAAAAGAGAGUGAAAAAGUACGUGAAAUUGUUAAAAGGGAAGGGGAGCGGGAGAAUUUAGGAAGUGGUGCGGGGUCUAGUGAUAGCAAACUGUCUCAGUGCGACCGGUUUGCUGGAGCAAACCUUGCGCCCUGUCUCCCCCUCCCACCCGUCUUGAACACGGACCA